AUGGUGAGACUGGAGCCAGCACCACCCGCAUGUGCUCGCUGCUUUCUGUAUGCAAACAGAGAAAUACCAGUACUGUCUUCCCUUGAUGUCACUCCAUCAUUCCCACAUCAUUGCCUGCUUUGUACCAGCAACGUCCCUGAUAAUCCUCUCCCCAAGAAGCAAUUCCUUCUCCUCAGCACUGCAAGCAGCGCUUUUCAACUGUGGCAGCAUCCCGUAACCAAGCAACAAGCAGCAUCCCCAAACAAGAAAUCCAGGUGUGCAGGAGAAAGCCCUGGCUGUGUGUGUUAUAGUGCAAUCCAGUGAAAAUUGCUGCAUCACGCUUACUUCUCCUUCGUGGUAAGAUUAAAAAAAAAACAACCUGCCGUCUGCCAUGUCUUGAAAACAACCCCAUCCUCUGAGAUGUAAAGGGGAUGGCUGCCUCUUUUUGCAUCAGCCAUCGGCGGAGUUGGUCCUGGCUUGGUCUGGACACUUCCAGAGGAGUUAUACAGGCUGAGAGCAUCGCUCAGACUUGCAUCUGCUGCAGGUGGCAGAGGACA
RNAcentral lists this long non-coding RNA (536 nucleotides) under Anser brachyrhynchus (Pink-footed goose). RNAcentral describes it as "lncRNA (ENSABRG00000002817.1)". Lineage: Eukaryota; Metazoa; Chordata; Aves; Anseriformes; Anatidae. The record is from RNAcentral.